GGUUAAGCGACUAAGCGUACACGGUGGAUGCCCUGGCAGUCAGAGGCGAUGAAGGACGUGCUAAUCUGCGAUAAGCGUCGGUGAGGUGAUAUGAACCGUUAUAACCGGCGAUUUCCGAAUGGGGAAACCCAGUGUGUUUCGACACACUAUCAUUAACUGAAUCCAUAGGUUAAUGAGGCGAACCGGGGGAACUGAAACAUCUAAGUCAGUAGCGGCGAGCGAACGGGGAGGAGCCCAGAGCCUGAAUCAGUGUGUGUGUUAGUGGAAGCGUCUGGAAAGGCGCGCGAUACAGGGUGACAGCCCCGUACACAAAAAUGCACAUAUUGUGAGCUCGAUGAGUAGGGCGGGACACGUGGUAUCCUGUCUGAAUAUGGGGGACCAUCCUCCAAGGCUAAAUACUCCUGACUGACCGAUAGUGAACCAGUACCGUGAGGGAAAGGCGAAAAGAACCCCGGCGAGGGGAGUGAAAAAGAACCUGAAACCGUGUACGUACAAGCAGUGGGAGCCUCUUAAUGGGGUGACUGCGUACCUUUUGUAUAAUGGGUCAGCGACUUAUAUUCUGUAGCAAGGUUAACCGAAUAGGGGAGCCGAAGGGAAACCGAGUCUUAACUGGGCGUUAAGUUGCAGGGUAUAGACCCGAAACCCGGUGAUCUAGCCAUGGGCAGGUUGAAGGUUGGGUAACACUAACUGGAGGACCGAACCGACUAAUGUUGAAAAAUUAGCGGAUGACUUGUGGCUGGGGGUGAAAGGCCAAUCAAACCGGGAGAUAGCUGGUUCUCCCCGAAAGCUAUUUAGGUAGCGCCUCGUGAAUUCAUCUCCGGGGGUAGAGCACUGUUUCGGCAAGGGGGUCAUCCCGACUUACCAACCCGAUGCAAACUGCGAAUACCGGAGAAUGUUAUCACGGGAGACACACGGCGGGUGCUAACGUCCGUCGUGAAGAGGGAAACAACCCAGACCGCCAGCUAAGGUCCCAAAGUCAUGGUUAAGUGGGAAACGAUGUGGGAAGGCCCAGACAGCCAGGAUGUUGGCUUAGAAGCAGCCAUCAUUUAAAGAAAGCGUAAUAGCUCACUGGUCGAGUCGGCCUGCGCGGAAGAUGUAACGGGGCUAAACCAUGCACCGAAGCUGCGGCAGCGACACUAUGUGUUGUUGGGUAGGGGAGCGUUCUGUAAGCCUGUGAAGGUGGCCUGUGAGGGUUGCUGGAGGUAUCAGAAGUGCGAAUGCUGACAUAAGUAACGAUAAAGCGGGUGAAAAGCCCGCUCGCCGGAAGACCAAGGGUUCCUGUCCAACGUUAAUCGGGGCAGGGUGAGUCGACCCCUAAGGCGAGGCCGAAAGGCGUAGUCGAUGGGAAACAGGUUAAUAUUCCUGUACUUGGUGUUACUGCGAAGGGGGGACGGAGAAGGCUAUGUUGGCCGGGCGACGGUUGUCCCGGUUUAAGCGUGUAGGCUGGUUUUCCAGGCAAAUCCGGAAAACCAAGGCUGAGGCGUGAUGACGAGGCACUACGGUGCUGAAGCGACAAAUGCCCUGCUUCCAGGAAAAGCCUCUAAGCAUCAGGUAACAUCAAAUCGUACCCCAAACCGACACAGGUGGUCAGGUAGAGAAUACCAAGGCGCUUGAGAGAACUCGGGUGAAGGAACUAGGCAAAAUGGUGCCGUAACUUCGGGAGAAGGCACGCUGAUAUGUAGGUGAAGCGACUUGCUCGUGGAGCUGAAAUCAGUCGAAGAUACCAGCUGGCUGCAACUGUUUAUUAAAAACACAGCACUGUGCAAACACGAAAGUGGACGUAUACGGUGUGACGCCUGCCCGGUGCCGGAAGGUUAAUUGAUGGGGUUAGCGGUAACGCGAAGCUCUUGAUCGAAGCCCCGGUAAACGGCGGCCGUAACUAUAACGGUCCUAAGGUAGCGAAAUUCCUUGUCGGGUAAGUUCCGACCUGCACGAAUGGCGUAAUGAUGGCCAGGCUGUCUCCACCCGAGACUCAGUGAAAUUGAACUCGCUGUGAAGAUGCAGUGUACCCGCGGCAAGACGGAAAGACCCCGUGAACCUUUACUAUAGCUUGACACUGAACAUUGAGCCUUGAUGUGUAGGAUAGGUGGGAGGCUUUGAAGUGUGGACGCCAGUCUGCAUGGAGCCGACCUUGAAAUACCACCCUUUAAUGUUUGAUGUUCUAACGUGGGCCCCUAAUCGGGGUUGCGGACAGUGUCUGGUGGGUAGUUUGACUGGGGCGGUCUCCUCCUAAAGAGUAACGGAGGAGCACGAAGGUUGGCUAAUCCUGGUCGGACAUCAGGAGGUUAGUGCAAUGGCAUAAGCCAGCUUGACUGCGAGCGUGACGGCGCGAGCAGGUGCGAAAGCAGGUCAUAGUGAUCCGGUGGUUCUGAAUGGAAGGGCCAUCGCUCAACGGAUAAAAGGUACUCCGGGGAUAACAGGCUGAUACCGCCCAAGAGUUCAUAUCGACGGCGGUGUUUGGCACCUCGAUGUCGGCUCAUCACAUCCUGGGGCUGAAGUAGGUCCCAAGGGUAUGGCUGUUCGCCAUUUAAAGUGGUACGCGAGCUGGGUUUAGAACGUCGUGAGACAGUUCGGUCCCUAUCUGCCGUGGGCGCUGGAGAACUGAGGGGGCUGCUCCUAGUACGAGAGGACCGGAGUGGACGCAUCACUGGUGUUCGGGUUGUCAUGCCAAUGGCACUGCCCGGUAGCUAAAUGCGGAAGAGAUAAGUGCUGAAAGCAUCUAAGCACGAAACUUGCCCCGAGAUGAGUUCUCCCUGAGACUUAGAGUCUCCUGAAGGAACGUUGAAGACGACGACGUUGAUAGGCCGGGUGUGUAAGCGCAGCGAUGCGUUGAGCUAACCGGUACUAAUGAACCGUGAGGCUUAACCUU
This 2869-nucleotide ribosomal RNA is filed under the name Escherichia coli. RNAcentral describes it as "23S ribosomal RNA". It matches the Rfam family "Bacterial large subunit ribosomal RNA". Lineage: Bacteria; Pseudomonadati; Pseudomonadota; Gammaproteobacteria; Enterobacterales; Enterobacteriaceae. The record is from RNAcentral.